CAACUGGAGGAAAUGGAAGAUGAGCUGACCAUAGAGUUGUGGGGAGCGAGAGCAGCGGUAGUGGACAUAGAGGAGAGCGAUGCAAGUGAGGAAGAGAGAGAGGUAAAACUCCCUCUGGUGGCAAGCACUUUGUCACCAAGGAUAGUGGUCACAAGCAUUUCUUCAUCUGAUGUUAGAAGGGAACCAGCAGAUCAAUGUGCAGCAGGGGAAAUGAAUAGGCUUGCUGCCGUGGCAUCAGAGGACGAAGAGCUUAAUGAGUUGCAAGGGCGGGUGGGCAAUUUGUCUCCAAGGGGAGAAUCUAAUAAAGUAAGGAUGACUAGUGAUAGUUCAUCCUUUACUGCGUAUCAAACUCCACAUUGCGACAAGCUGGGUCGCUUGCAUUAUCUCAACCAAAGAAAAGAGGUUCUCAGCUGCCUUUUUCGUCAGACCGCACGUUACGCUCUAAGGGGAUUUAGCUAAGGCGCUCUGGAAUAGAUUUGAGAGUGUCCUAGGAGAUUUGGAUAUGGUGUCCACGUUGAGACACGUGCUGUUAUGGUGGUGGCUGCGUAAGGGGCACAACGUGUAUCUCAGGUUCGUUUAUCGUACAUUACCUAUGCUCAUCUGCUGGGAAUUAUGGAAAGCGAGAAACAGGGGACUGUUUGAUGGAAGGAAGGUGGCGUGGACGGAGGUGGCAAAUCAGGGAUUAGAGGUCGGGGAUCGAACGAGGGAACUUAGAGAUUUAUCAUGAAGACUUUAGCAUUGUAAUUAGUAUCUUAAUAAGGUAGGCAUUUUGUAUCGAUCGAAGUAUUGUAAAAGAAUGUGAACGGUUGGUUUUGGUUUAUCGAAAUGUUAUCUCUGGGGUUAAUGGAAAUUAUCAAAUGGUUAUCUCUGAAAUUAAUG
Molecule: non-coding RNA, 879 nt
Organism: Coffea arabica (coffee)
Lineage: Eukaryota; Viridiplantae; Streptophyta; Magnoliopsida; Gentianales; Rubiaceae
Source: RefSeq, a predicted model, not a curated record